Molecule: transfer RNA, 65 nt
Filed under: Geoscapheus dilatatus
Lineage: Eukaryota; Metazoa; Arthropoda; Insecta; Blattodea; Blaberidae
Description: tRNA-Glu
Rfam family: tRNA
About the family: Transfer RNA (tRNA) molecules are approximately 80 nucleotides in length.
Source: RNAcentral
AUUUAUGUAGUUUACUUAAAACAUUACAUUUUCACUGUAAAAACAUUAUUUUAUAAUCAUAAGUU